GCUCGCCCCGCCCCGCCCAGUGCUCGCGCGCUCCCCGCCUCUCGGGCAGAGGACUGGGUCAGGGCCCCCCAGGUUUAGCCAACCGAAAACACCACCAGCUUAAAUGUGAAAUCCGGAGGAACAGAGAAGCGAACGAGAGCGCCCGAGGCCAGCCACAUGAACAAGCCGUUCCAGCUCUGAGAACACAGAGAACCUGAGGCAGCCAGGCAAGCAGGUUGCUAGACAGAGGCUGCACGUGACAUCAACCUGCCGAGUGUUCCUUCACCCCAAGAAUUUUGAGAGCAGCAGUGGACAUGGCACCCCAGCAGCGCACGGCUGUCACUCUGUAAACUGAAAGGGUGGCCUUUGGUGUGGGCUGUGUGAGUGGCUGUGCAGGGACGGGAAUCCAAGGACCUGGGAGGCUCCCUUGGUGACGUGGGAUGUGGGGCACAAAGGCCAAUGGCAGGAUGGUUUUCUAUGCAGGAGGGACGCAAUAAGCAGGAUGCAGAAAGAGACAGAUCGCUGGAAAAUUAAACGUGGGGUUUAACAGAGAAAUAACCACUUUCUAUGAAACAUAAUGACUUCUCCCGAGACUGGUGUCAGGAUUUAUUGGGCUGAGUGGUUACCGAAGAUCAGAGCCGGAGACCUUGGAGGGAGGGUCCUGUGGGACAGCUUCACCCGGUCACUGCAUCUGCAUGCUGGAGCCGGGCUCUGCACACGUCGGGACAUAAAAUGUGUCCAGCACCUUCGAUGGAUAUACUUUUCCUCCGCCCACCACAGCCGUUUGAUAGCCCCGGCCCCCUCCAGCACUGUCACAGGAGGCAUGGCCUGCUUUGCCAUUAGUUCCUGUGCCCAGCCUCCCUUCAAGGGCACCAUGCCAAGGCCGAAAAUGACUCUGGCAAUGUGAUAUACCUGCCAGGCUCCCAGGUCAGAACAUUCUGGGGAGACCCUGGUUCUCCUACGUGUACCCCAACACUGCGAGCUGUUGGCAAGAAGCCCGAGCAAUGAGAUUGAGUUUUGGUAUUGAAUUUGAGGCAAAUCUGCAGAGUUUCAAUGUAAGAGAUUUAUUGCCGUGCCAAACGCAUGUGUGUAAAAUACAUAAUUCCUCUCACACGGCCUCAUAAAUCCAAAAGGGUCAGCAAUAAAUAGAAAAAAAAUAAAAAAUUACAGACUAAUUUGCUCAGAAAACUAGAAGGGAAUCAAUAAGACAGCUAUAGCUCAAAAUGUGAAGUCACACACACAGGGGACAACUUUCCCCCACUGGACCCAGAGCUCUGUGCCCUGGGAAAGCUGGGAAAGAACCAGGUGACACCGUGGCUGGUGCCUCCCUCAAUGAGAUUUGUCUUUAGGCACAGGUGCCCAAGAAGGGCCCUGAGCCAAGCACUGUCCCUGAAACGUGGCAGAUUGUGGCUCCAUGAGGAGCUCUCUGGAAGGGGCCCUGCCUCUCCCCAAAAGUGUCCCAAGGGUCCUUGCCGGAGGGACAGGCCAGAGGGCACUGGCAGCUCCCUGUCCUGUGACUUGGCACCUCAGACCUCUGCCCUGCCAGCUCCUGCCAUGCCCAACACAGCCGGUGACCACCAAACCCUAAUGCUCACUCGGUGAGAAAAGUCAGACGCACAAGCUCGGUGCCUCGUGGUUUCCCUUCUAUGUGAAAUCCAAAGUAUAAAUAAAGACAAGGGAUGGACAAUAGGAACUGGGAGGUAGGUCUUUUGCACAAAGGAAGGGGACCAAGCAAGGGAAGGAGGGGGGAGAGAAGGGGAGGAGAAGGGACUGAGAUGUGUCCUGGCCGGGUGGCAACUCCCCGCAAGGAAUGUGCUUAUGGUGUACUGCAAGCACCUGCUCAUAAAAAUAAAGCCACACAGGGGCAGGAAGCUCAGGUCCCCGGCCCCCAAGUGCAGUUAGGUGCAGGUCCGAGGCUGAGGGAGGAACAGAGACCUGAGGGUCAGCGCUGGACUCCACUAUCUCCAUGGCCAGCGCUGCUUGUCAACCUGGACCCACCCAGGAAGGGACCUAAUUCAAGAAGUGGGGGGCUGCAGGCGAAUUACUCAAUAUUCUUUUUUUUGGGGGGGGGUUUGUUUUUUUUCCUGUACCCGGAAUCGAACUCACGACUUUGUGCUUGCCAGGCAGGCACUGUGCUGCUGAGCUAAAUCCUCAGCCCCGUACUCAAUAUUCUAAGGAUGCUAAAAUUCAUGUGUACAGCUCAAAGAGGUGAGCUUCGUGGUAUGGGAAUGAUGUCUGAAUAGAAAGUGUUUAGAAUAUAGUGUCACCCACGGAAACCAGACAGUACAGAAGUAGGAGAAAAUAAUCUCCUGACGACAAUCCUUUCAUAGUCUACAGUCUUUAUUCAAGUGGGUUUUUAAACAUCAAUUUGAACUGAUCCAUAAAAACACAGAAGUUGUGCAUUGAGCCAGCUCUGUGUUGCACAGAGCGCUCCAGCACAGACUUUCCAAAGCCGCUGGCUGUGUAGCACCUGUCCUCACCCUUUCCCGUCACAUCGGCUGCUGCCAGAGCUACAGGAAGGAACUCAUAGGCACAUUUGGGGUUCUAGCUGGGUUUUUAACGUUAACUUUUGGGUUUUUUCCGCUAUAUAUAUAGUUCAGGCUGGUCUUGAAUUGAGUAUGUCGCUCAAGCUGGCCUUGAACU
Molecule: long non-coding RNA, 2622 nt
Organism: Chinchilla lanigera (long-tailed chinchilla)
Lineage: Eukaryota; Metazoa; Chordata; Mammalia; Rodentia; Chinchillidae
Exons: 3
Source: RefSeq, a predicted model, not a curated record